Molecule: ribosomal RNA, 228 nt
Filed under: uncultured bacterium
Lineage: Bacteria
Description: partial 16S ribosomal RNA
Rfam family: Bacterial small subunit ribosomal RNA
Source: RNAcentral
UACGUAGGGUCCGAGCGUUUGUCCGGAAUUACUGGGCGUAAAGCGCGCGCAGGCGGCCCGCGAGGUGUCACGUGAAAGCCCCGGGCUCAACCCGGGAGGGUCGUGGCAAACCGGCGGCUUGAGGCCGGUAGAGGUGGGUGGAACUCCUGGUGGAGUGGUGAAAUGCGUAGAGAUCAGGAAGAACACCCGUGGCGAAGGCGGCCCACUGGGCCGGUACUGACGCUGAGG